RNAcentral lists this ribosomal RNA (460 nucleotides) under uncultured bacterium. RNAcentral's name for it is "partial 16S ribosomal RNA". It matches the Rfam family "Bacterial small subunit ribosomal RNA", at positions 338 to 795 of the family's 1533-position model. The record is from RNAcentral.
CCUACGGGGCGCAGCAGUGAGGAAUAUUGGUCAUUGGGCGGAAGCCUGAACCAGCCAAGUAGCGUGCAGGAUGACGGCCCUACGGGUUGUAAACUGCUUUUUUACGGGAACAACGCGCCUUACGUGUAGGGCUUUGCAUGUACCGUAUGAAUAAGGACCGGCUAAUUCCGUGCCAGCAGCCGCGGUAAUUAGGCGGGUCCGGGCGUUAUCCGGAUUUAUUGGGUUUAAAGGGAGCGUAGGCCGCAUGUCAAGCGAGCGGUGAAAUGUCCGGGCUCAACCCGGGCCUUGCAGCGCGAACUGGCGUGCGUGAGUCCGCGGAAAGCAGGCGGAAUUCGUCGUGUAGCGGUGAAAUGCUUAGAUAUGACGAAGAACCCCGAUUGCGAAGGCAGCUUGCUGCAGCGGAACUGACGCUGAUGCUCGAAAGCGCGGGUAUCGAACAGGAUUAGAUACCCCAGUAGUC